UACCAGCUCUCCGAGUGGUAGGGAUGAUUAUUGGGCUUAAAGCGUCCGUAGCCGGCUUAGCAAGUUUCCUGUUAAACCCAGCGACUCAAUCGUUGGAUCGCGGGAAAUACUACUAGGCUAGGAGGCGGAGAGGUCAACGGUACUUCUGGGGUAGGGGUGAAAUCCUAUAAUCCCGGGAGGACCACCAGUGGCGAAGGCUGUUGACUAGAACGCGCUCGACGGUGAGGGACGAAAGCUGGGGUAGCAAACCGGAUUAGAUACCCGGGUAGUCCCAGCUGUAAACGAUGCGAGCUAGGUGUUGGGAUGGCUACGGGCCAUUUCAGUGCCGCAGGGAAGCCAUUAAGCUCGCCGCCUGGGGAGUACGGCCGCAAGGCUGAAACUUAAAGGAAUUGGCGGGGAGCACCACAAGGCGUGAAGCUUGCGGUUC
Molecule: ribosomal RNA, 427 nt
Filed under: uncultured archaeon
Lineage: Archaea
Description: bacterial SSU rRNA
Rfam family: Archaeal small subunit ribosomal RNA
Source: RNAcentral